This 837-nucleotide ribosomal RNA is filed under the name uncultured archaeon. Its description in RNAcentral is "bacterial SSU rRNA". It matches the Rfam family "Archaeal small subunit ribosomal RNA", at positions 47 to 890 of the family's 1478-position model. The record is from RNAcentral.
AGCCAUGCGAGUCAUUGUAGCAAUACAAGGCAGACGGCUCAGUAACGCGUAGUCAACCUAACCUAUGGACGGGAAUAACCUCGGGAAACUGAGAAUAAUGCCCGAUAGAACACUAUGCCUGGAAUGGUUUGUGUUCCAAAUGAUUUAUCGUCGUAGGAUGGGACUGCGGCCUAUCAGUUUGUUGGUGAGGUAAUGGCCCACCAAGACUAUUACAGGUACGGGCUCUGAGAGGAGUAGCCCGGAGAUGGGUACUGAGACACGGACCCAGGCCCUAUGGGGCGCAGCAGGCGAGAAAACUUUGCAAUGUGCGAAAGCACGACAAGGUUAAUCCGAGUGGUUUCUGCUAAAGGAACCUUUUGUCGGUCCUAGAAACACCGAUGAAUAAGGGGUGGGCAAGCUCUGGUGUCAGCCGCCGCGGUAAAACCAGCACCUCAAGUGGUCAGGAUGAUUAUUGGGCCUAAAGCAUCCGUAGCCUGCUUUGUUAGUUUUCGGUUAAAUCUAUACGCUCAACGUAUAGGCUGCCGGGAAUACUGCAAAGCUAGGGAGUGGGAGAGGUAGACGGUACUCGGUAGGAAGGGGUAAAAUCCUUUGAUCUAUUGAUGACCACCUGUGGCGAAGGCGGUCUACCAGAACACGUCCGACGGUGAGGGAUGAAAGCUGGGGGAGCAAACCGGAUUAGAUACCCGGGUAGUCCCAGCCGUAAACCAUGCAAACUCAGUGAUGCAUUGGCUUGUGGCCAAUGCAGUGCUGCAGGGAAGCCGUUAAGUUUGCCGCCUGGGAAGUACGUACGCAAGUAUGAAACUUAAAGGAAUUGGCGGGGGAGCACCACAAGGGGUG